AUCGCUUCUCGGCCUUUUGGCUAAGAUCAAGUGUAGUAUCUGUUCUUAUCAGUUUAAUAUCUGAUACGUCCCCCAUCGGGGGACUAUAAUAUAAAUGGAUUUUUCGAACAGGGAGUCGGAAGCGGGGCUUGCUCCGUCCGCUCCACGCAUCGACUCGGUAUUGCAGUACCUCCGAGACGAGAACGUUGCACCCUCU
This 196-nucleotide small nuclear RNA is filed under the name Esox lucius (northern pike). RNAcentral's name for it is "U2 spliceosomal RNA". It matches the Rfam family "U2 spliceosomal RNA". Rfam says of the family: U2 is a small nuclear RNA (snRNA) component of the spliceosome (involved in pre-mRNA splicing). Complementary binding between U2 snRNA (in an area lying towards the 5' end but 3' to hairpin I) and the branchpoint sequence (BPS) of the intron results the bulging out of an unpaired adenosine, on the BPS, which initiates a nucleophilic attack at the intronic 5' splice site, thus starting the first of two transesterification reactions that mediate splicing. Lineage: Eukaryota; Metazoa; Chordata; Actinopteri; Esociformes; Esocidae. The record is from Rfam by way of RNAcentral.